CUCUCCUGUGUGCUCCAGGAUGAUCAACAAUCCCCUGUAAAUCGGCUCGACCGCCGAGAUAUGAUCACAUCAUGUAGGGCUGCAUCGUAGUACGUGGAUGUAGGCACACACGUGCACGGGGAUGCGGUAAUAACGUCUCGCACCGGGUAAUGACUCGCUUAUUCGUGUGCGUGUCGGCCGUCACUCGGCUUGCGCAACAAUUCGUGCCCCGGGAUCUAUCGCGGAACGAGAUACCGUGCCCAUGGGGCAUCCUGCCGUCGCCCCCGAUAAUCCAUUGCCGUUUGGUCAUCGCCGAUGAUUGCAUUUAAGAGAAUCCAUACGCGAAACUCGAUUCCCGCAUUAACGUGAUUUGAGCCGCGCAUCAGCAGCGAGACUUUUGCCGCGCGUUUGCGCGCCCCUAUCCAGGAUCAAAGCGGCAAAAAUCGGUCGCUCGGCGCGACUCAAGCGAGACGCAAGCACGUAUUUUCUGAAUAAUCCCGCGAAAUAAUCGCCGCCUGACUGAUACGGAUAUGCAAAUGUUCCGCGAUGUAAAUACGCUUACGCACGGGGGAUGCACAAGGUGUGUCUCGCGAGACCGUGAUCCCGACGACGUUUCGGAUUACGAACUCGAAAGGGAAAGCCAUCCACGCCAAGAUCCCAUCUCAUUUCCGGAAGAGAUGGCAAAUACCGGAUAUGGACAAAUACCGAGUCGAUGCGUAACUGCCGUUCCGCAGUUAUGCACCAACGCAACUCGAUGCGGAGGAUGAUGAACGCAGCCGUACGUCGAAUGCAUUCUGGUGCACCUUGUUUGUCUUGGAACGGUUUUUUCCCCCGAUCGAGCCGCGGACCACCCCGAGUAGCACUGCGCGAACGGGUAAAUAAACCAACGGGAGGGAAAGGCCACCCCCGCUAGUUGGGGCGAUGUGUGUACGUGUGCGUGUGUUUUCAUGUCUUUUUACCGACUAAUAUUUAACAAAAUUCUCGUUAAAUAUUUUCGCGCGCCUCGUGGACGCGCGGCCGCGUGACGCACGCUUUAUAAAUAUUUAUGGAGCGCAAACAAUAUGCAUCAAACGUCCAAUAUGCACAUCCGAAUAAGCAAGAAUUUUAUAUUCAAGCAAAAAUUUGUGCGAGAGAAAGAGAGAGAGAGAACCCUUUGCGACUUGAACAUGAUUUUCUUCUUACGUAUGCAAAUUUACAACACCCUUAUCGCGGAGAUGUACUGCUGCUGGACGGUCACAUCCCUCGCCCCGUUAAUCGAUAUAAUUGUAGCAUUACGUCCGCGCCGACGAGAAAGAAUAACAGACGGCGGUACAGGUAUGGCAUUCUAAUGAAAGCAAUUACCAGAAAAUAUAUGCCUCUAAUUAGCCGGCUGCGAUUACGGACGCGUUGCAAAAAAACCACGAGUUGCCCUCGGGGAGAGGGUGGCACGAACCUCGGAGCCUCUCCGCCCGACGUAAAACUCUAUGAAUUCCGAUUCGCUCUAGAACGUGAUGUAAUAUCGGUACCGGUGUUUCCGGGGCUUCGCGAGUUUGCACUGACGUUAGUCGACCCCAAGAGCCACGUAGGUGCAGAAAUUUAUGAAUAUUAAUAAAAAUCUACAACGAAUCUUUCUCUCUCUCGCGUGGCAUAAUACGUAGUGAAUGUUUUAUGCGCUUGUAAAAAUCUGUUUAAUUUACUGCUGCACGUGCUUCAGAAAUAUGAUAUCCUCCUAUAUCAUGCCCCAUAGUUCACACCGGUUUCUCGGGGUGCAGGCAGCAUCGCGUUGCUUCGAAUUUUGCGCCGUGAGAUAACAUCACAUCGAGAUAAAAUCAAUCUUCGUCCAACGGAGGCCGGGCAAUCGGAGGAUCACAACCUCUCUUAGAUCCGGACGAUCCGUCAUGCAGCCACGUGUAUCGUGAUCGCUGUGCAUUAUCAAAACACGCACCCCGCAGCGGUGACGAGUAUCCGCGUGCAUAUUCCGCUGUCGUGGAAAGGCCUUCGAUCGACCGGGGAGUGAUUAACGGCGUUAUCGCGUGGAAUUUAUAAACCGAUUCGAUCUCGCCGAGAUUCACGGGGGUGAUGUAGGCCGAGCGCGGGGGUACGAGAUGCGAUACGCGCGCGCGUAACGCGCGCAGUGGAAGAGUUUGUGGGGCGAUGAACACGUCGUGCUUCCAAGCCCUUUCAAAAUAGUACAGCGGGUAAAGUUCGCAAUGGUAAUGCCGAGCUUGCCGAGUCGAGGGGGAUGAAAUCUCGCGCGGACGCGCGAGAUCGUCGCGCCGCGUCUCGCGCAUAAGCGAUUAAUUCCGCGCAAGGAAUUAAUUAGCCGCACGGUAAUUGAGCAAUUUGGAGCGUUGGGGAUAAAAAAGUGCGCAUUUUGCCGAAAGUUUCGCCGUUUCGAGAGAAUCACGCGGCAGUGAUUGCGUUAAAAGUACCUUCGAAUUGCAAACGUGUGGGAACGUGAAGUAGGGUCGAGAGAACGUGGAAAACUUUUAUUCUGCGGGCGUGCGAUUAUUUGUAUCGAAUAUUCAAACGAGGGUAAACGGGAGGAAGGAGGGAGAAAGGGUUAAUAAAAAUUGCCGUGCUUUCUUUACGUACACGAUGGCGUGAGGGAGAAGUGCGCGAUAUAAAGUAUCGGAGUAUCGACGGCUCCAUAGUGUAUAAUGUCAUUGCGAGUUUCUCUAAGCGCUGAUCAUCCCCUUUGUGCGGCCGCCUGUCCUUUCAGGGAAGAAAGCUUUUCCCGCCGGCCCUGAAAUUUCGCUUGAUAUUGCGCGCGGCGUGAUUAAAGCGCGGCGGAAAAUUAAAUUUUUUAGAGAGAAUUAACAGGUCGCGCAAGAGAAUUAAUUGGCGCGCAACCUACUACUCGCAACCCCUAUUUUCGAACAGCCAUUCUCUCUCUUUCUCUCUCUCUCUCUCUCAUACACACACACAUGCACAUAUAUGUGCGCACGUGAUAUUUUGCGAGAUAGCAGGAUGGACGCGUACGCAAUGCGCGCUACGCGACGUAUACAGCAAAUUAAUAAAUUAAUGAAUUGAUAAAUUGAUAGAUAAAUUCAACGAUAAUUCCGGCGCGCGGUACAAUUUAUCGCGAUGGAGUUUAUUAAGGGAGCGGACUGAUCAAUUUUACCGAUUCUUGCCAUUUUCCGGCGUUCGGGAAAUGGUCGGUCCCUUUUCCGAGAUACCGCAUUGCACCGCCAACGAAAUACAGUACUUUAAAACACAAUUGCAAGAUAUCGAUGGUAACAGAAGAAAAUCGUGUGUUAUGAAGAGCAAAGUGCACGUGUGCAUCAAAAGACCCAGUCUUUAAGCUUCCACCGUUCAUGUUUCGCGAACGAUCGCCCGUGCAAAUCGCAAGGCGGGAAAUAAAUUUGCGCCCGAUCCACGUGCAUAGCGGCACGCGAUCUCCCGCGCGUAGUCUCGUGCAUCAAAUUCCGCUCGUGUACAAUGCAAUGGAUAGUCUCGGCGGCAUUUGCCUAUUUGCAAGUCGCGACACGCUCAAAUCGCCACGACUCGAGAGUCAGGCUCGGGGCUUUGAUUAUAUUGCUUCGCCCGAUCGACCGAAGCGAGAGGUGGAUGGAUCCCUGGCCGUGCGCGACCGAGGGUGGCCACCAUCGUGCGCCGCACGGAAUUAGAAGUGCGUCAGCUCGGAAAAUUCGCUGCCGUUGCGUGGCUCUUCUGAAAAGCAAAA
Long non-coding RNA from Ooceraea biroi (clonal raider ant), 3643 nucleotides. RefSeq lists it as uncharacterized. NCBI's taxonomy places the organism in Eukaryota, Metazoa, Arthropoda, Insecta, Hymenoptera, Formicidae. The record is from RefSeq and is a predicted model, not a curated record.